AGCAAGGUACGGGGCGGUCACUGAUGACGCGAGACGCUGCUGCCGAGUCACCGCUGCGGAGAGUCUGAGAGAGAAAGAGCCGGCUGACUCUGGAAGCCUACGAACUUUGGUUCCGCUUGCGGGGGAGGAGGAAGCUGAGCUACCAGGAAGCCGCGGGGCCACCUGAAGAGAGCCGAGCUAUCAAGGAGGUGCCCUGCUUAUAUCAUAAAGACAGCCCGAUCCUGGGGAGAAAGAAUCUCAAUCUUUGAAAAUAAGAGGAAGAAAAUAAACAUAAGAAAAAAUACUUUAAAUUGAAAGUUCUGAUUUUGGAAGUAUUUGAAUUAUGUCAAAGGCGAUAUUCAACACACUCAGCAACCAGUACAGCAAGGCACCAUCCAGUCAGAAUGGACACCCUGAAACAACUCUGAAACACCACCAGCCUGAAACAACACUGCGGCUAGAUCUCUGUGUCUCAGCUGAAUGUCAGUCCUGAAUUAUACUGUGUGGUCAUGAUGAGUUUUAGGCCAUUGACAACCAGUUGCAAGUUGACCUGAAGGCGAUCAGCUUUGAAGGCAGAGAUGAACAUGAUUUCACCAGGAGGCACUGCAGGCAGCUUGCAAAUCACCUUGCUGAGCCAGUUUUGCAGAGAAAGAGUUAUCAAUGUCAUGGGGGCAUUAGUUUUUCAACAUUUACUUUAUGCAUUCAAUAGGCCCCUGUAAGGAAUUUCUGGCUGUUUGGCAGUGGCCUAAAUGUACUUGCUUCUCUGUGGCCCAAUGCCCCAGAUACGAUUCUUGCAAUCAAGUAAGGGUUAGUUAGGUUUCCUUCAGUUUAUUCCAAUCUAUGUUCUGACUACAACUUUUCAGAGUUCUUCAGGAAGUUUCUGACAAAAAUGAAAGCCUUUGGCAAGUGUCUGAGGAAGUAGACAACAGAUCAAGAUUCCCCUCCCCAAAAGAUAUAUUAGUCACUUAUGGAGAAAUUCCAAGACCUCCUUGAAAAUAAAACAUUAAUGAAUAUGAAAGGGGGAUCCCCCACUGGAAUCAGGAGAAAGCACAUAACAUGAAAAUCAUAUGGAGGGGCGCCUGGGUGGCUCAGUCGGUUAAGUGUCCGACUUCAGGUCAUGAUCUCACGG
Molecule: long non-coding RNA, 1108 nt
Organism: Lynx canadensis (Canada lynx)
Lineage: Eukaryota; Metazoa; Chordata; Mammalia; Carnivora; Felidae
Exons: 3
Source: RefSeq, a predicted model, not a curated record